This 260-nucleotide long non-coding RNA is filed under the name Medicago truncatula (barrel medic). RNAcentral describes it as "long non-coding RNA (MTRU_LNC001773)". The record is from RNAcentral. Lineage: Eukaryota; Viridiplantae; Streptophyta; Magnoliopsida; Fabales; Fabaceae.
GAUAACGUUUAAUGCAGUCUGUAAAGCUAUUAAGAUAUGUUGAUAUUAAUUGAGCAUGAUUAAUGUAUUAUGCAAUAUGUGAGAUAUAAUGAAAUGAUUAUGAUUCUAUUGAAUUGCUGUUGAUAUAUUGAUAUCUCCCUGCUGUUAUGUGACUUGACUAUGUUGCUGCUGUUAUUUAACUGAGUAUGCAAUGUUUAUUUAUGAAUAUAGUGAAAAUGAUGACGUUUCGCUUCAAGUUAUUGAAUGCACAUGAUUACGAU